AUACGGAGGAUCCAAGCGUUAUCCGGAUUUAUUGGGUUUAAAGGGUGCGCAGGCGGCCUUAUAAGUCAGUGGUGAAAUCUCCCGGCUCAACCGGGAAACUGCCAUUGAUACUGUAAGGCUCGAAUACAGACGAGGUAGGCGGAAUGUAGCAUGUAGCGGUGAAAUGCUUAGAUAUGCUACAGAACACCAAUCGCGAAGGCAGCUUACCAGACUGUAAUUGACGCUAAGGCACGAAAGCGUGGGGAGCGAACAGGAUUAGAAACCCCUGUAGUCC
This 274-nucleotide ribosomal RNA is filed under the name uncultured bacterium. RNAcentral describes it as "partial 16S ribosomal RNA". It matches the Rfam family "Bacterial small subunit ribosomal RNA", at positions 523 to 796 of the family's 1533-position model. The record is from RNAcentral.